GAUGAACGCUGGCGGCGUGCCUAAUAUAUGCAAGUCGAGCGAACGGACGAGAAGCUUGCUUCUCUGAUGUUAGCGGCGGACGGGUGAGUAACACGUGGAUAACCUACCUAUAAGACUGGGAUAACUUCGGGAAACCGGAGCUAAUACCGGAUGAUAUUUUGAACCGCAUGGUUCAAAAGUGAAAGACGGUCUUGCUGUCACUUAUAGAUGGAUCCGCGCUGCAUUAGCUAGUUGGUAAGGUAACGGCUUACCAAGGCAACGAUGCAUAGCCGACCUGAGAGGGUGCUAGGCCACACUGGAACUGAGACACGGUCCAGACUCCUACGGGAGGCAGCAGUAGGGAAUCUUCCGCAAUGGGCGAAAGCCUGACGGAGCAACGCCGCGUGAGUGAUGAUGGUCUUCAGAUCGUAAACCUCUGUUAUUAGGGAAGACCAUAUGUGUAAGUAACUGUGCACAUCUUGACGGUACCUAAUCAGAAAGCCACGGCUAACUACGUG
Molecule: ribosomal RNA, 497 nt
Filed under: uncultured bacterium
Lineage: Bacteria
Description: partial 16S ribosomal RNA
Rfam family: Bacterial small subunit ribosomal RNA
Source: RNAcentral